AACGAUCCGAGCUCGAGCUCUAUUCAGUACUCGUUUAAUACACGAGCCGAGUAUAGCUCGACUCGUUUAAGCUCGUUAGGCUCGAAGGGUAAGGGCAUUUUCGUCAUUUCAAUGUAUAUGUGGUACUCUAACCUAAGUCAUCUCCCGUCUCCGUCUGUAGCCCUAAUUUUCUUUCCUCUUUUGGUCUUACGUUUUCCCGCCCCACAGCCGUUACCCUCCAGUUGCACCCCGCAGCCUCCAUUUUCACGCCGCAGCCGCACGCCCGUACCCUCCAUUCUCACCACCAGGCGCCAUCCUAAAUUUUUCUUUCCUCUUUCUAUCAUGCUGGGUCGGUGUGGAACUACCUCAGAACGGUGUUCGGGUUUGGAAUUGGGUGCGGCGUUGGAUUUGGUGUUGGGUAUGGACAAGGGAUUGGAUUUGGCCGCACACUGCAAUCGCUAAGAUCUCAGCUUUUUCAGCCUAAGAGGAAGUCCAAGAGACCAAUCCUUGUUUAGAUUUGAUUUCUUGUAUUCUCGCCUUGAUUCUGUUUGUUUCUUGUUUCCUGUCAAGACAAAUAGAAUUUGAAUUUCUGUUGUUCUUUUGUUUGACAAAACAUCAGUGUAGACGAACCCGGAUGGUGUGAUUUUGGCUAAUAUUAUUUUCUUUUUCCCCUUGCAAUCUUCAGCAUUUGUAGGCAGUUUUACUACCGAAGUCUUGACUAGUGGUGGACUCACUUAACACAUCCUUUUAUGACUAUGAAUUUACGGCUGAA
Molecule: long non-coding RNA, 751 nt
Filed under: Coffea arabica (coffee)
Lineage: Eukaryota; Viridiplantae; Streptophyta; Magnoliopsida; Gentianales; Rubiaceae
Description: long non-coding RNA (CARA_LNC007586)
Source: RNAcentral